This 1391-nucleotide ribosomal RNA is filed under the name uncultured bacterium. RNAcentral's name for it is "bacterial SSU rRNA". It matches the Rfam family "Bacterial small subunit ribosomal RNA". The record is from RNAcentral.
GAAUUCGCCCUUAGAGUUUGAUCCUGGCUCAGGACGAACGCUGGCGGCGUGCUUAACACAUGCAAGUCGGACGGUCUGUAUAUUGAAAGCUUGCUGGAUAUGUACGGAUAGUGGCGGACGGGUGAGUAACGCGUGAAUACCUGGCCAUCGGAGGGGGACAACGGCUGGAAACGGUCGCUAAUGCCGCGUAAGCCGUAAGGUGAAAGGCCACGGGAGUGGCUGCCGAUGGAUGGGUUCGCGUCCUAUCAGCUGGUUGGUGGGGUAAGGGCCUACCAAGGCUAAGACGGGUAGCCGGUCUGAGAGGGUGAUCGGCCACACUGGAACUGAGAUACGGUCCAGACUCCUACGGGAGGCAGCAGUGGGGAAUAUUGGGCAAUGGGGGGAACCCUGACCCAGCGACGCCGCGUGAGGGAAGAAGGUUUUCGGAUCGUAAACCUCUGUUGUACGGGAAGAAGGAAGUGACGGUACCGUACGAGGAAGCCCCGGCAAACUACGUGCCAGCAGCCGCGGUAACACGUAGGGGGCGGGCGUUGUCCGGAAUUACUGGGCGUAAAGGGCGCGCAGGCUGUUAUGCGAGUCUGCUGUGAAAUGUACCGGCUCAACCGGUGCCUUGCGGCGGAUACUGCAUAGCUGGAGUACUGGAGAGGGAAGUGGAAUUCCCGGUGUAGCGGUGAAAUGCGUAGAUAUCGGGAGGAACACCGGUGGCGAAGGCGGCUUUCUGGCCAGUUACUGACGCUCAUGCGCGAAAGCUGGGGUAGCGAACCGGAUUAGAUACCCGGGUAGUCCCAGCCGUAAACGAUGAAUGCUAGGUGUGGGUGUCGCAGGGCAUCCGUGCCGCAGCUAACGCGAUAAGCAUUCCGCCUGGGGAGUACGGUCGCAAGAUUGAAACUCAAAGGAAUUGACGGGGGCCCGCACAAGCGGUGGAGCACGUGGUUUAAUUCGAUGCAAACCGAAGAACCUUACCUGGGUUUGACAUCCUCUGACGACUCCAGAGAUGGAGAGUUCGAUCUUCGGAUCGACAGAGAGACAGGUGGUGCAUGGUUGUCGUCAGCUCGUGUCGUGAGAUGUUGGGUUAAGUCCCGCAACGAGCGCAACCCUUAUUCUUAGUUGCCAGCAUGAAAGAUGGGCACUCUAAGGAGACUGCCGGUGACAAACCGGAGGAAGGUGGGGAUGACGUCAAAUCAUCAUGGCCCUUACGUCCCGGGCUACACACGUGCUACAAUGGCUGGUACAACGGGCAGCAAGACCGCGAGGUGGAGCAAAUCCCUGAAAACCAGUCUCAGUUCAGAUUGCAGUCUGCAACUCGACUGCAUGAAGUCGGAAUCGCUAGUAAUCGCUAAUCAGCAGGUAGCGGUGAAUACGUUCCCGGGCCUUGCACUCACCGCCCGUCA